This 473-nucleotide ribosomal RNA is filed under the name uncultured bacterium. RNAcentral describes it as "bacterial SSU rRNA". It matches the Rfam family "Bacterial small subunit ribosomal RNA", at positions 28 to 507 of the family's 1533-position model. The record is from RNAcentral.
GAUGAACGCUGGCGGCGUGCCUCAAACAUGCAAGUCGAGCGGGGCUAUGUAAUAUCGCAAGGUAGAACAUAGCCUAGCGGCGAACGGGUGAGUAACACGUGGGUAACCUGCCUGGAAGACAGGGAUAACGAUUCGAAAGGGUCGCUAAUACCUGAUAAUAUCCUUUCAUCGCAUGGUGAUAGGAAGAAAGGGGAAACCCGCUUUUCAGAUGGGCCCGCGUCCCAUCAGCUAGUUGGUAAGGUAAAGGCUUACCAAGGCGACGACGGGUAGCCGGUCUGAGAGGAUGUACGGCCACACUGGGACUGAGAUACGGCCCAGACUCCUACGGGAGGCAGCAGUUGGGAAUCUUAGGCAAUGGACGAAAGUCUGACCUAGCGACGCCGCGUGAGGGAAGAAGGCCUUCGGGUUGUAAAGCUCUGUCCUAUGGGAAGAAGGAGACGGUACCAUAGGAGGAAGCCCCGGCUAACUACGUG